RNAcentral lists this long non-coding RNA (337 nucleotides) under Elaeis guineensis (African oil palm). RNAcentral describes it as "long non-coding RNA (EGUI_LNC019529)". The record is from RNAcentral. Lineage: Eukaryota; Viridiplantae; Streptophyta; Magnoliopsida; Arecales; Arecaceae.
UGCUACUCCAUCAUCGCGUUCGAUAUACUGAAGAUUGGCACGCAACGAUGAAAUGUAUUUGUAUUUGUUCAUUGACGUCGAGACAUAAUCCAUGCCGUUUUCCCAUUCUCUGUUAAGGUGAUCACAUGCGAUCUAAAGUAACCCCUAGUCCGUUUCCUCUUUGCUAGGAAGGUUAAUGGAUGAGAAUAGAUUAUAACCGCACGGGAGAUUUUUCGAGGAAAAUAUAGACAUGGACGGUCAUCAGCUCAUCAUGUCCGGUAUAUACUAUGGAUGAUGGAUCUGGUAUCUGACAAUCUAAAUUCGUGAGGUCGAGAGGUUAGACUGCGAUCCCAAUGAC